GAGGUCACAAGGUUUUUCUAUUAUUUGACCUACUGACCUAGUUUUUGACGGCACGUGACCCACUUUCGAACUUGACCUAGAUAUCAUCAAGGUGAACAUUCUGACUAAUUUUCAUGAAGAUCUCAUGAAAUAUAUGGCCUCUAAAGAGGUCACAAGGUUUUUCUAUUUUUAGACCUACUGACCUAGUUUUUGACUGCACAUGACCCAGUU
This is a long non-coding RNA of Mercenaria mercenaria, 210 nucleotides long. RefSeq lists it as uncharacterized. Lineage: Eukaryota; Metazoa; Mollusca; Bivalvia; Venerida; Veneridae. The record is from RefSeq and is a predicted model, not a curated record. The transcript has 2 exons.